GAUGAACGCUGGCGGCGUGCCUAAUACAUGCAAGUCGAGCGGACGGACGAGAAGCUUGCUUCUCUGAUGUUAGCGGCGGACGGGUGAGUAACACGUGGAUAACCUACCUAUAAGACUGGGAUAACUUCGGGAAACCGGAGCUAAUACCGGAUAAUAUUUUGAACCGCAUGGUUCAAAAGUGAAAGACGGUCUUGCUGUCACUUAUAGAUGGAUCCGCGCUGCAUUAGCUAGUUGGUAAGGUAACGGCUUACCAAGGCAACGAUGCAUAGCCGACCUGAGAGGGUGAUCGGCCACACUGGAACUGAGACACGGUCCAGACUCCUACGGGAGGCAGCAGUAGGGAAUCUUCUGCAAUGGGCGAAAGCCUGACGGAGCAACGCCGCGUGAGUGAUGAAGGUCUUCGGAUCGUAAAACUCUGUUAUUAGGGAAGAACAUAUGUGUAAGUAACUGUGCACAUCUUGACGGUACCUAAUCAGAAAGCCACGGCUAACUACGUG
Molecule: ribosomal RNA, 497 nt
Filed under: uncultured bacterium
Lineage: Bacteria
Description: partial 16S ribosomal RNA
Rfam family: Bacterial small subunit ribosomal RNA
Source: RNAcentral